This 546-nucleotide long non-coding RNA is filed under the name Androctonus crassicauda. The record is from RNAcentral. Lineage: Eukaryota; Metazoa; Arthropoda; Arachnida; Scorpiones; Buthidae.
UUCUUUAUAGUUAAAUCCUCAUAUUUGGCCUUUAUAGUGCCAUGGCUCUUGAAUGAGAGCAAGGUCAUAGCAGCCACCAUGAGCAGCCGACCCGAAAGGGCAGAAGUAGCUCGGGAGUGCUGGAGGUUGAUUUGGAUCACCCUCAGAUUCAUAACAUUACAGGUGCCUAAGAUGGGCAGAUUUCCAUGCCCACCACCAAACACUGGGCACCAGAAGGUCCAGGGACACUUCCAGAAUCCCAGUCCUUAUCGGCGAGCCCAAUCAGUUCAUGACCCUUUGCAGGAGCAACCACUGAAGCUAUCAGUCAGCCAGACUUGGAAUUAGGAUCUGAAAGCACCUUGAAGAUCCCUUCAUUGACCCUAGAGAGAGCCUUAAAAUUGGCUGCUUUGAUGGCCUUAACUGAGACAGGAUCGACCAUCAUGAUGCACUGUUCCUUCACAUCCGUACGUUGUCCCAGAACUUCCAGUUCUCAGUUUUGAGUCCCGGAUUGUAAGUUCUGUCAACCUACAAUCCGGGAGUCAAGCCAAAAGUUUAUUCACAACCCGU